Molecule: long non-coding RNA, 9757 nt
Organism: Sorex araneus (European shrew)
Lineage: Eukaryota; Metazoa; Chordata; Mammalia; Eulipotyphla; Soricidae
Exons: 2
Source: RefSeq, a predicted model, not a curated record
GGACCCGAUUGGACAUUUUAGGUGCCUUCAUGGAAAGAAGGAAAGCCUGGGUCAUGCUGGUUAUGUUUAGCCAGCCCUGACCCAAUAAAGGCAGCUUAAAGGCAGCAUAAAAGUGCUGUGGGGGAGGUGUGUGUGAGCUGCAAUAAUGGUGCUGCCAUAACGGUGCUGCCAUUACAGCUCGCUACCCUCAGGGGGGCUGUGCCCCACUGGCCUGAAUCGCUGCACCUCCAAGCCUCAGCAUGUCACAUCAUCACUGCUACUCUAGGCCCUAUGUGUCCUCACGUGGCGACCAAUGUGGCUGCUGGUGCAGGGAGCUCAGCCCCUGGAGUUGGUGCUGCACCCAGUAUAGCUGCCUUCCCAGUUACCCCAGGGUCUCCCAAGCCCUGGCCUUCACAUUCCCCUGAUCUUCCACCUGAUUCGCCCCUUGCCUUUCAACCCCGGCCAACCCAAGGGACUUUGAGUACCUGUUUUCCUAGACUGCUACCUGCCUUUUGUUCCAUUUAAGAUGUUCUCUAAGACAUUAGUUCGACCCUUGGUGAGGGAUAAGGAUUCAAGUAAAGAGUUGCCUUCUGGGUCUGAUCGAUUGCCCUCUGGGUCCCGUACCUUUACUACUGGCCACCGUCACAAUCCAGGCCGCUUUCUGGACACUCGGGCCCGGACCCAGCAUUACACACGAGUGAAGCCCCACAGAAAUGGGGGACUUCACUCAUAAAGCAGAACUUUGUGACCUUGGACUCCAGUUUCAUGGGACUGUGAAACAGAGAUCCUCUGGCUGCUUCCACAGCUGCAUUUCAGGAUCUCCCAAGGAAUCGAAACCUUCUUUAGUUCAGGACUCAAAUUGGCUGUCAAGUACCCUGAAGAGGGUGAUACUGCUUCAGUCCUGCCAGAAACCCUAGUUCAGCCUACAUUGGCUGCUGAGGAAAGGGGGUCUUCAGUGCCUCAGGAGGUGGAAGCUCGGCCUUCAGUCAGGUCUGGAACUUGUAGCGCAGUCUUUACUGCAUCAUCAGGAAAAUGAACUGUCUCCAGUCCAGAAAGAAGCCCAUCUUUCAAAUAUAUCUACUGUCACCAUCAAACCUGCCUACCUGCAGAUUACCAGAACUCCAAGGGUCAUCAAUGAGGGUGAAACUUCAACCCAGCCAGAAACUCUAAAUCUCACACUGCAGAGAGCCUUGAAGAGAAUGAACAAUCUCUAACCCAAGCAGAGGCCCAGUUUCAGUCUCUAGAGAGCCUAAAGGGUGACUGUGCCAUACAGCAGGAGGCAGUGGCUCAAGCUCCAGAGAUCCCUGAGGUGACUGAAUCUUCAGUCUGCAGGAAUCCCUAGCUCAGCCUCCUGAAUCCUCUAUGGAGUUGGAAGCUCAACCAUUCCUGCAUCCUGAGGAAAAUGUUCUAUCUCUAAGUCAGAAUGAAGCUCCACACUUAAACCUGCCUCGUGUCACUGCUAAAGCUUUGAGUGUGACAUUUUUCAUAUUUUCAGAAGUCAGUUAUGAGGUUGAACCCUCUCCAGUGCCACAGGAGGCCCUGGAUCAGCUUUCUGAGCCAUCUGAGGAAUCAGUCCCUCAAGCACUUCUGCAUCCUGAAGGAAAUAUUCCAUCUCCAAGUCAGAAUGAAGCUCCAAGCUUAAAUUUGCCUCAUCUUACUGUGACAGUAACCAUAGCUACAGAGGUCAGAUCGGACAAGCCUCAUGCAUAAAGGGACCGGCAGUGGAAGCCAGGUGUGCGGGGCCCAGUGCUGAGAUCUCCAGACCUGCUCGGUUUGGGACUGGGCCUUCUCCACCCAGACCCUCACUUUCCGUAGCUUGGCAGCCACACCCAAAAACUCCCCCCAGUGUCGUGUAAUCCCACCAACAGCCAACAUCCAGAGACUAUAAGACCAAGUUCCCGGAAGAGAAUGAUGCAGAGUCUCUUGCCCCGUGCCUGGCUGUCUUCACCGGGGCCCCUCUGAGGGGACCGGUUGCCUUUGCCUUUGCCUUUGCCCCAAGCGGAGCUUUGACAGUUGAAGAUCUCCAGAACACAGCCACAGCCAUGCUCAAGGCUACUCUCCACACAUUUGGACGAGCCUCUAGCAUGAAGGGACUGGCAGAGGAAGCCAGGUGUGCGGGUGCCCGCUCGAGUAAAUCAAAGAACAACGGGAUGACAGUGAUACUGUGAUACAGACAUCUAUAAUGAGGUUGAACCUUCUUCAGUCCUGCAGGAGCCCAGGCUGAGACUCUUGAGCCAUCUGAGGAAUCUGUCCCUCAACCGUUUCUGCAUUCUGAUGAAAAUGUUCCAUCUCCAAGUCAGAAUGAAGCUCUAAGCUUAAAUUUGCCCCGUGCCACUGCUAAACCAAUGGGUGUGACAUUUUCCAUAUCUACUGAGUUUUGUAAUGAGGAUGAACCUUCAUUCCAGUAGGAGGUGUAGGCUCAACCUCCUGAGCCACGUGAGGAAUCUGUCACUCAGCCAUUUCUGCAUUUCUGCAUUCUGAAGAAAAUGUUCCAUUUCCCAGUCAAAGUCUCCAUCUUCACAUGAAAACGUGCACAGUGUCACUGCUAAAUAAAAACAAACAGUGGGCAUACUAUUUAAGAUUUCUAUAUUUUCUCCUCUAAUAGAAUUUUUUAGUGCUAUGAAUAUUACUGGUGUGCCCGAAGGAAACUGAAGAAUCAGUAGAGAAUCCACAAACAGAAUUGCUCUCCUUACUCUAUAGCCCUGCAGUCUUAGAGACAGAAAUUUUAAGUUGUCCGAGACCUUAUUUACUUACAUGAGUAGGUCCUGGGUUGACUUCAGCCUUCCAGUCUGGGCAAGUAUUUUAGUAAAAGUGACUCUUUGGUCAUCUGGUAGAAUUUCUAUCAACUAAAAUAACAUUUAAGAACCAAUGGGGGGUGCUGGAGGUAGGGGGGGUGCAGCAGGUAGGGCGUUUGCCUUGUAUGCAGCAGACCUGGGUUUGAAUCCCAGCAUCCCAUAUGGUCCCCUGAACACCCCAGAGUAAUUCCUGAGUGCAGAGCCAGGAGUAACUCCUGUGCAUGGCCGAGUGUGACCCAAAAAGAAAAGAAAAAAAAACCUUUGGGGACUUAAGGAGAUGGUACCGCAGCUGAGUCAUCUGCCUUGCAUGUCCCUGGCACGGCAUAUGGUCCUCUCUAGCACCACUAGGGUUCACAGAGCCAGCAAAAGCCCCUGAGUAUCAGAGAAUAUGAUCCCCACACCCAAAUUAUAAAGAAAUAAAAGCAGCAGUGGAUUGGCGAAUUAGCUCAACAGACUGAGCACAUUCUUGGCAUGCAGGAAGCAGUUUCAGUUCCAGUUCAGCACGGCAUUGCCAGGAGUGACUCCAAGUACGAAGUGGGUGUAAUUCCUGAGCACCAUUGAGUCUGGCCCCAAAACAGAGAAACAAAAAGAACCAUACUUAAUGUCUGCAUUGAAAAGGAAAAUGCUCUUAUUUUAUGCUUUAAAAACAAAAUUUUGGAGGGUUUUAGCGAUAGACAGUGGGCAGGGCAUUUGCCUUGCAUACGGUGACCUGCGUUCAAUUACCAGCAUCCUGUAUGGUCCCCCAAGCACUGCCACAAGUAAUUCCUGAGUGCAGAGCCAGGAGGAACCCCUGAGUAUCACUGACAGAGACCCCCAAAGCAAAAAUAAACAAACAAAAAAUAAGUUCUGGCCAUUUCAAAAGCCCCAAGAGAGUGACCAUAAAUAAGUAGGGGAAGGAGUUGAGUCUGCUGUCAUUAACUGCUGUGGCACUUGGGGAGUCCAUGACGAGAACAACAGGUUUGGUUGUGAUUUACUUAAAUACCCAUCCCUGCUUGAGGAUGAUGAUUUUUGCAGCUCUUCAGGGAUUGAUUUCCAGCUCUUCAGGAACUUCGGGAUCUGAUUAUUCUGGGGGCACGAGGAGAGGCUCCCAUCCUCCCAUGCCAUUCAGUCCUCUCGGACCUCAUCUCCACCUGGGGAGGGAUUCCAGCUCCAGUUCUGCAUUUUCUGCCAAUGGCCUUAUUGGUUAGAUGAACGUUGACCUCUUUUUUUUGGCUUUAAUUCUCAAGCCCAUCGCUGGACUUAUUCAUAUAUGCAUUUUAAUAUGAGAAAAUGAAAAUUUUUUAGGAUAUGCCAAGAGGCUCUUUAGAAAAUAAACUUUCUAGGUGGUUUGAGGCAGAGGAGGCAUUCACUGCGUUCACGUGGGGCUUCUGUCACCAUGCCAUCCUGCGAUGACUCCUAUGGUUCCUCUUCAGUCUCCUGUAAUGCCAGCAUCUCCUGGGAUCUGAAGGACUGUUGUGUAAGGGGGCCUGCGGAGCCCUGAUGGACUGUCGUGCUGAGAGGUGCUGUGAAGACCUGAUGGACUGUCGUGACUGGGGUUCUGUGGUGCGGGGGCACCCUGUGGAGGCUUGCUGGUCUGUUGUGCCAGGGGGACAAGUGGUGGCAGGGGGCGCCUUGGUACCUGUGUCUCCUGUGCUCCCUGGCUCUCCUCUGCUGUCUUGGUCUCCUUAGCUGCAUUCUCAGGAAGUUCUGCGCCCUUCACUACUCCGAGCUCCCUGAGCUCCCUGCAACAAGAAUAAGGUCGCUCUCGAAAGGGACAUCCCUCCUCUGCAUCGCUUCCUGACUUCAGGCAGAAAUUGGAACUGUCCCCAUCAUUUACUCUGUGUCUUUGUUGAAAAUUUUGUCCUUGUCAGAGGAAUCCUUGUCCUGAAGCUUCUGUGCCAUGUUUUUCUUAUGUGCCAUGUUUUUCUUACUGAGCGGCCGAUACAUGUCCCUCAGCCACAGGGGCCGCCUUUGCCAGAAAAAGCCCUCCUGGAAAAGGCAAGGGGAGCUCGUGAUCCUGUACCCCAGCCCACUCUUGUACUGCCUCAGUGUCCCCUCUUCCCCUUGCUUACCUGAGGCUUGUGUUCCACUGAACUUCUCCAAGGAAGCAAUAAUCCAAAGAAGGUCCUUGGAGGAAAACACGGACACACAUCAUUCGUCAUUCACCCAUUUCCCAUGCUUCUAUGAUGGAGGUCUCUGUUCUUGUUAGGAUAACUACAUGGGUACCUCGGUCUGGAGCCAUGAUGAGUCCAACCACUAUGACCUGACACCUUGACAAAGUUUCCAUGCAUACUUGCAGCGGUUUUUAGAAAUUUGUCGGGUCCAUCCAAAGGGACCCCAUAGUCUCUUGAGAGACAUUUAUAUGCAGCCUGGCUUAGAAAACAGGCAGGAUAUUUAGUUCUGCUCACCACGGUGGCCCCAGCAAAUGCCCUGUGCAGUGAAUAAACUGCCCACCACACUGAGAGAAGGCACUAGAGUCUCCAGAAGCCUUUCCACUGGUUGCCUCUGGAUUUAGUUCCUCGGGCACCCUUUACUGGAAGUUGGGGUUGGGGAGAUGAUUCUAUCCUCAUAGCUGCUUUAUUCCAGAUGCUGAACCAGAGUAAAUGCCUAUGUGCAAUUUGCCAAAUCUUUUAGCCCACUAGCUUCCAUCCUGCAGGCAAUCACAUCAUUGUUGGGGAUGAGGGAUUACAGCUGCUGGAUGAGUUGAAUCUCCAGUUGGUCUCCGAGGUGUGGUUUUUGUGUGGCAGAGAAGAUGUCCCUGGUCACGUUGUGAUAUUCCCACUGCAUCUCCUUGGACUGUUUGACAGUUGGCAUGAUGUUGUCCGCCAUCGCGGCUUCCUUCUCAUGGGUGGUUCCAUUGCUACUGACAGUUUUCUCUGGCAGCGCAAUGCCUCUGGUGUUCCCCCCAUUUGCAGCAUGCGUGCUUUCUGCAGUCUUCUUUUCUGUAGACUAGUGCGAAAGAAGAAAUUAUUGCAGGAAAGCUUUGUCCUGAUCUCUCCAAGACAGACUCCUCUCGUGGCGGGGAGUUGAUGAGGCUCUUCACUGCAGCGGAAGGAGGCCGCUUGCUGAGCACCGGCCUCUCGGGUGCUGAUAACUUUAUCUCCAUAUUCAUUCUGCCUUUGGGCAUUCUGCAGCCCACCAGUGUUUUUCUGGUCUUUCGAUUUGUUUUUCAUUACAGAUGGGAUUUUGUAAGAAGUGGCUGUCGACACUCAAGCUUCGGGGGUGUGGUGACCACCGCUUUGUGCUCCUGGAUGAAGGACGACGACUCAAGGAGUUUUCCACUAAUUUCCUGGGCUUUCCCACCAAGGGAAGCUCUUUCGGUUCUUUUGGGGCUGGCUGCCUGAGCCUUCUUUCUUGGGCAAUGUUUUCUAAGUCUAGUUGCUUUUUUAUGAAAAUGGAGAGGUUACUUCCAUAUGCUGAGGCCUUCUCUGGUUGAAUGAUCAGCUCAGAUCCGGUAUUCUACUUUCUGCGGCCUGUGAAACCUUCAAGAACUCUCCUUCCAUGUUUCUUAUGGACUCAUCUAAAUCUGACUUCUCGGGUGCUGAUUUCUUCGUCUCUGUAUGCACUCUGGCUUUUGUCAUUCUGUGUCAAAGCUGAGAGAGUAAGAUUUAUGAAAUUGGUAUUUUUUUCUGUUGUAAUAAUCAUAUGAUUAUUCUACUGAUCCCCAAGGAGCAAGCACCCAGUCAUCAAGACAAAUAUUUGCUGCUCAGUUAGACUCUUUACUGAUCAACUAUGACUUUUUUUUGUUUUAUGUUUUGGCCAUUCCCAGCCAUGCUCAGGGGUUACUCCUGUCUCUGCUCUCCGAAAUUUUCUGGAUGGUGCCUUGGGGACCGUAUGGGAUGCUGGGAAUUGAACCUGGGUUGACUGCAUAAAAGGCAAGCACCCUCUCCACUAGACCAUCUCUCCAGCCCCUCAACUAUGACUUGGGGUGUAUUCCCAUACCUUUAUCCCGUCCUGCCCAUAUAAAGAGAGAGGACUUUUUCUCUCUACCUCUCUCAGGUGCUAAUGCUUUUGUUACUGUCAAGAUGACGAAUAAAUUCCUCCAAAAAUCAGGUCUUCAUCUGAAUGUACCCUUCCUCCACCUACCCACUAAUUCUUUUGCUUAUUAACUCUUAGUCUCAUAUUGUUGAAGCUGGCAGAUGUCUAAGGAUAGGUUAAUGGAUUUGCCAGAGUAUAUGUCAGUGUGCAAUGUUGAGAAAAUCUGGAAGAUAAUUUUGCUUUGUUUUGUUUGGGGUGACACUUGGUGAUGCUCAGGGGUUAUUCUUGGUUCUGUGCUCAGGAAAUCAUUCCUGGUGGUGCUUGGGAAACCAAAUGGGAUGCUGGCGAUGGAACCCAGGUCAUCCGUGUGCAAGGCAAGUCCCGUACCUACUGUACUAUCUCUUGGGCCCCUGAAAUAACAUUGGAGCUCCCAAAAUUGGGGAAAAUAACUCUUAUUAGAUGUCUAUUUUGCCUUCAUUUACUCCCUUCAACUUCCAAUUCUAUUUAGGGAACCAUACAAAGUUUCUGACUGCUUGAAGGUCAAGUAUAACAUUUGUACAAUUGGGUUUUUUUUUGAGGGGUAGUGGGGCCAAAUCCAUAAAUGUUCAGGGGUUACUUCUAUCUCUGUGCUCAGGGAUCACUCCUGGUAGUAACUGAGGAUUGUCUGGGAAGCGAGGGAUCCAACCCAGGUCUGCCGUAUGCAAGACAGGUGCGCUAGCUGCUAGACUAUCUCUCCAACCAACCUUUGCUGAAGAAUUCAAAGUGCUUUUGGUGGAGGUGAAGUUUAGAGGGGGAGUUAAGGGAAGUGAAGAAGAAGCAUGGACUUGCAGAGAGUCCCAGACCGGGAACACAUGAUCUAGGCAUUAGGCACAUUUAACACUUUUAGUUUUGCUAUUCCUCACCUAAAAAAAUAUAUAAUUAUUUGGUUUAGUUUUUCUCUAAAUAAAAUCAUUGCAGAUGGAGUAGCGUGGUUACAAUGGUACCGAUGCUAUUGGUUUCCAUGUACAAAGUGAACUUCACCUAGACCACUGCCCAAGUGCCGAGACACCACAGUCUGUACAUCGCCUCUAGCCUGACUCUACUCCUGCCACCCCCCACAUCUCCAGGUUUGUUGUUCAUCUUAUGAAAGGUGAUUAGUAAAUGAUUGUUAUGCCCACUUUUGCGAAGAGAAUUAUUGCAAAGGGACUUGCUAAAAGUUGAUUUUAACAAUAACACUAUCUUUGUGUAAGAAGCAAAGUGAUCUGAUGUGCCCAAUUUCUGAUAGCGAAUCUGAUUCAUACUAUCCUGGCGUGAAAACACAUUUUUGGGUGGUGCGUGUGUGUGUGUGUGUGUGUGUGUGUGCGCGCGCGCGCGCGCGCGCGUAAGCACAUGUGCAUGCGUGCUUGCGCCAUUCUCAGUAGUGCCCAAGAAAUACUCCCAGCAGUGCUUGGGAACCUGUUUUGCAGGGAGUUGAACCCACACAGCCCACAUGAAAAGCAUGUGAUACAACCUAUUGAUCUAUUUUCCUAGGCCCCUAAAAGCACGUUUUGGAAGUUAUCAAGCUAAAGUCAGUAAAGUUACUAUGUGGAAAGAUACUUAAGAGCACCUGAGUGCUUUGUAGAUGGAAGGGUUAAAAUUCAAAAUAGGCUCAGAAGUGGGGUUGGUCUAAGAAUCCAUGAGCCCAUCCAUCUUUAGAAGGACUGAGUGGCAACCUCUGCUUAGAAAACCAGAAAUUCUCAGGCUCUAAGCAAAACUUUCAUAAGACAGUAUGACUUGUACUCACCUAUAAAUUACAAAAGCACAUGCAAUAAAGUAGCGACACCUGUCCUAUGAAGAAAAGGGCACUUGAGAUCUGUUGUAUAUAAAAUCUGUUUACAAACUGCAUUCUGUGGCUGAGCUCUCAUCUGGAGGACCAGCACCUUGGUCAGAGUGUGGCCCUCAUUUGUGACCAUUAAUGUUACCUCCCUUCCCCACUUCUAUCCCUUUCUGCCAUUCCUCUUAAGUCUUCAGGUCAUCCAUAUACUACUAAGGUAAUGAUGUUAUUGAGAUUCUGACUUUUACCAAGGGAAAUCAUUCUUAGAAAUAUAGGAAUUUGAACUCUGAAUAAAAAUAAUGCAACUACAUAAUCAGUUUAAAAUGGACCAUCAGUGAUUAAAAUUAAAAUGAAACAAUUAAAGAGCUAUGAGCAGGCUAUUUAGACUUACCUCUGUGUUUACUAUUGUUAGGAUAUUCACUGUCACAAUUUAGUUUGAAUAAAGUCUUGCAGACAACCUCAAUAUUGGGGUGUGUUUUUUAAUUUUUUGGUUUUUGGGUCACACCCAGCUAUGCACAGGGGUCACUCCUGGCUUUGCACUCAGGGAUUACCCCUGGCGGUGCUCAGAGGACCAUAUGGGAUGCUGGGAGUCAAACCCAGGUCGGUCACAUGCAAAGCAAAUGCCCUACCCACUGUGUUAUCGCUCCAGCCCCUCAAUAUUGUUUUUAAAUUGCUGAGGAAGCAGGCUAAAUGGCUGGGUAAGAUCCUAUGAAUGGAAACACAGAAUUAAGUGUAGAGUAAAGGGGUGGCUUUAAACAGGUAGAAGAGGUAGCCAAAGCCACUGUGCAGCUAUUCAAAAUGUUCCUGAGAAACAUGGGUGAGGUGUUGCUCGAAAUCUGUGGUGGUGGGAAUCCAACUGGGAGGUGAUGCAUGCCAAGUGUGUACCUUAACCCCUCUCCUAUCACUUCAGCCCUCAGAAAAUUGAGUUUUGUUUUUGGUCAUUGUUGGGGUCUCAGCAGCCAGCCUGAGACCCUGGACAAAUCCCUGCCCUUAGAAGCAGGAGCAGUCUCUCUUCACAGGGGCCUAAGGCCCUGUGCCAGCACUCCACCCAGUGCUAACAUACCCGGCCUUGAGAGCAGGAAACAUAAGUCAUUAGUUAACGUCUGUAAUGGGUCCGGCAAAGUGUAUAUGACAAGCGUUGAUAACCAUGUGUUCACAAUAUCCAAGUCACCCUGAAAUUGUGUAUAAAUAUCUCCUGUGGGAUCUAAUAAAAUGAGAGUUGGUUGACCUCCGA